This 263-nucleotide unclassified non-coding RNA is filed under the name Hevea brasiliensis (rubber tree). Lineage: Eukaryota; Viridiplantae; Streptophyta; Magnoliopsida; Malpighiales; Euphorbiaceae. The record is from RNAcentral.
GUGUCUUAGGCUCAGGUUCCUGCUCACUAGUGGCGCCAACAUCAAGAGAGAAGAAAUCAGGGGCGGCAGAUUCAAUGGAAGAGGAAUUAACCGAUGAGAGAGAGAUUUCAUUGCGGAAGACGGAGUAAGGCUGGAGAGAAUCGGAGACAGGAGAUUGAUUGGGGGUGGGAAGAGAAAGAGGGGUUAGGGUUUCGUAGAGAGGGAUUGGAGUUUGGGUUGGGGAAUCCAUAUCCAAAGGGGCGGCAGUUGGUUCUUUGAACGAG